Molecule: long non-coding RNA, 616 nt
Organism: Rhododendron vialii
Lineage: Eukaryota; Viridiplantae; Streptophyta; Magnoliopsida; Ericales; Ericaceae
Exons: 2
Source: RefSeq, a predicted model, not a curated record
GAAACUGUAGAGUUGUGUUUCUAAGUGUGCAUCUUUUGACAGUCGUAACUUUGUCAUUCGAAAUCUAUUUAGGACAAACUCUAUAUCGAUAUUGGUGUACUGAAAGUCUACUUUCUAAUGGUGGUGGUUUCAUGACUCAACUUUGAUCCUAUAAAAUGCUACAGUCUUUUAAAGACAGGCUGGUUGUAGGAUGUCUUGUUAUUUUGGGAGUGUUGUUGUGUUUGAACUUCAUGUGUGUUAUUCUUUGGCCAUUGUUUAGUUCCUUAUGAGCUUAUUAUUCUUGUGUUGAUCGUUCGUUGAACUUAUUACUAAUACGGUUAAGCGUGUGGUUAAGUAACGAGCUGAGUAAUCGGGAGGUGCCAAAAUCGUAAGUUGGCAUACUUCGGUCGACUCACAGAUAGCAAGGGUUUGUAGGAUGGUCCACUACCGGUCGGCGUUUUGGGGUUGGCUUUGAGGAUGUUGAUUGUGUCGGUGGUAGUGAGUUGUCUUGUAUAUAUAAUUGACUCGUUUUGUAAAGGAUGUUUUGCACUUUAGUUUACCAAGUAUGUAAAGUUAUGGGUAUAACGUCGACUCUUUUAAUAAUAUUAAUGUUAAGUCUUCCGCUGGAUUAUUCUGA